RNAcentral lists this ribosomal RNA (508 nucleotides) under uncultured bacterium. Its description in RNAcentral is "partial 16S ribosomal RNA". It matches the Rfam family "Bacterial small subunit ribosomal RNA", at positions 28 to 507 of the family's 1533-position model. The record is from RNAcentral.
GACGAACGCUGGCGGCGUGCCUAAUACAUGCAAGUCGAACGCUUCUUUCCUCCCGAGUGCUUGCACUCAAUUGGAAAGAGGAGUGGCGGACGGGUGAGUAACACGUGGGUAACCUACCCAUCAGAGGGGGAUAACACUUGGAAACAGGCGCUAAUACCGCAUAACAGUUUAUGCCGCAUGGCAUAAGAGUGAAAGGCGCUUUCGGGUGUCGCUGAUGGAUGGACCCGCGGUGCAUUAGCUAGUUGGUGAGGUAACGGCUCACCAAGGCCACGAUGCAUAGCCGACCUGAGAGGGUGAUCGGCCACACUGGGACUGAGACACGGCCCAGGCUCCUACGGGAGGCAGCAGUAGGGAAUCUUCGGCAAUGGACGAAAGUCUGACCGAGCAACGCCGCGUGAGUGAAGAAGGUUUUCGGAUCGUAAAACUCUGUUGUUAGAGAAGAACAAGGACGUUAGUAACUGAACGUCCCCUGACGGUAUCUAACCAGAAAGCCACGGCUAACUACGUG